Molecule: long non-coding RNA, 1511 nt
Organism: Dufourea novaeangliae
Lineage: Eukaryota; Metazoa; Arthropoda; Insecta; Hymenoptera; Halictidae
Exons: 3
Source: RefSeq, a predicted model, not a curated record
ACUGUAGCUCUAGUGAAUUUACUACAUUACGAAUUUUAGUAGCUCGCUAUAUCGUCACUUUCAAGUGUAUUAAGAAAUCAUUAGCUAGAGUCAAUGCGUCGAGAACAAUUCGAUGUCUCUCCUGAUUCGGUACAGCGGAGACUACAGUUUGCAUUGAGACGUAACAGCCAAACUGUGUUAACAAUCAAUUUUAAACGCUCUAAUAGGCCAGUCCGAGGCUAUUCGUUUUCGAUCGAACACGAUCUUUCCCCUCGAUACUUCUUCUGAUCCCCUGCGAGUUCUUCUUUUAGACAGUUUUCAUGCAUGAUAUAGCUUUUCCCUUUUCGAACUCCCCCGAAUAUAAAGUUUUCUCUGAUUAAUCUUUCGAAGAUAUUAAAAUUGUAUCGUUCGGGUCUUGGACAGUAGGAAAUUGCGCGAAUAACAUGCAACGCCCGAUCGAUGAUUAAUUGAAUUUUAAACAGAGUUGUCCAAAUUUUCAAGGUAUUCGCGUAUGCACAGUGAAAGAGGUAGAUAGUAACCUGAUAAUUCUAAUACCGUAGUAUUCUCGACCAACUAAGACAGGCCUGUUCAACAUGUGGCCCGCGGGUCAAAAUUGAAUCGCGCGCCUACCGGUUUGCUCUUUCAGCCGAGGGGAAUGAACCCCCUCCAUAUCCACAAGAAGCCGACGAGUACAAGCAAGAAAGCGUUUGCGCAUGCUCUGCCUGUCCCCACUUCCGAUAUUCCCGAAAUCCCUACCCGCAUCACCCGCAGUUGCCGCCGGAUACCCGAUCGCAACGCAGUGCAGGCGAUUAAUGGGAAUUGGAUUGAGUGAUGGUUGGGACCGCGUUGUGUUUGUGUUGUCUGGCAAUGUGACCCCCGGGCUACAUGUUGGACAAAGAGAAGCGUGGCCCUUCAAGGUCCACGGUUUCUGUGAUUCUCUCGUACCUUAUUAAUUAUUAUUACUAUCGCCGCAUAUAUAUUCUAUCAUCUAUGAACUUGUCGUUACGUGUCAUUCUUGUAUAAAAAGCUGUUGGCGUCUACGCGGAUAUUCUAAAAUGAGAUUUUACGUGUAUAUAUGUCAUUGGAUUUGUUGAAUUUCUCAAGUUUAUUGCAAAACCUGUACCAUACACUCGGGAAAGGUCGAAUGUUAAGCGUUUCCGCGUGAUUGUAAAUUUUUCGCACAAUCCCAUACCAUCCUGCACACCAAUCCCUGAUCAUCAGGCAGCACAACUGAUAACUGUUGACAACAGCUGAGAAUGUAAUAGGGGAAUGGAAUGAAUGAUUGAGGAUGGAGGAUGGAUGACCAUCUUUGCCUUACCAACAGCAUGUUUGCCAGAGCUGGAUACUCAGUCACCUCUAUACCAAACAAGCUCUCGCCACUGCUGUAGGUAAGAUACUUUUCCCACAAUUCAUCGAGACGUGCUUGAAAUAGAAGAAGUCUGAAAAAAUUACGAUUAUCAUUGAUGAAAAGAUGAAAAUCAUGAUUAUUAUUUACGAUGUUACCGAUCACUAGCUUCUUUUGCUGGUAUGCC